UUGUGCCAGCAGCCGCGGUAAUACAGAGGGUGCAAGCGUUAAUCGGAUUUACUGGGCGUAAAGCGUACGUAGGUGGUCUUUUAAGUCGGAUGUGAAAUCCCUGAGCUUAACUUAGGAAUUGCAUUCGAUACUGGGAGACUAGAGUAUGGGAGAGGAUGGUAGAAUUCCAGGUGUAGCGGUGAAAUGCGUAGAGAUCUGGAGGAAUACCGGUGGCGAAGGCGGCCCCCUGGACAAAGACUGACGCUCAGGUGCGAAAGCGUGGGGAGCAAACAGGAUUAGAUACCCUGGUAGUCCACGCUGUAAACGAUGUCGACUUGGAGGUUGUGCCCUUGAGGCGUGGCUUCCGGAGCUAACGCGUUAAGUCGACCGCCUGGGGAGUACGGCCGC
RNAcentral lists this ribosomal RNA (387 nucleotides) under uncultured bacterium. RNAcentral describes it as "bacterial SSU rRNA". It matches the Rfam family "Bacterial small subunit ribosomal RNA", at positions 503 to 889 of the family's 1533-position model. The record is from RNAcentral.